GGCAGAGUCGUGUAGUGGUUAGCAUACCCGACUGGAUAAUCGGAGACCCGGAGUUCAAACCCGGGCUCUGCCA
Molecule: transfer RNA, 73 nt
Filed under: Ixodes scapularis (black-legged tick)
Lineage: Eukaryota; Metazoa; Arthropoda; Arachnida; Ixodida; Ixodidae
Rfam family: tRNA
About the family: Transfer RNA (tRNA) molecules are approximately 80 nucleotides in length.
Source: Rfam by way of RNAcentral